RNAcentral lists this ribosomal RNA (1429 nucleotides) under uncultured organism. RNAcentral's name for it is "SSU rRNA". It matches the Rfam family "Bacterial small subunit ribosomal RNA". The record is from RNAcentral.
CACAUGCAAGUCGAGGGGCAGCAUGGUCUUUUCUUGCUAAGGCCGAUGGCGACCGGCGCACGGGUGAGUAACACGUAUCCAACCUGCCGUCUACUCUUGGACAGCCUUCUGAAAGGAAGAUUAAUACAAGAUGGCAUCAUGAGUCCGCAUGUUCACAUGAUUAAAGGUAUUCCGGUAGACGAUGGGGAUGCGUUCCAUUAGAUAGUAGGCGGGGUAACGGCCCACCUAGUCUUCGAUGGAUAGGGGUUCUGAGAGGAAGGUCCCCCACAUUGGAACUGAGACACGGUCCAAACUCCUACGGGAGGCAGCAGUGAGGAAUAUUGGUCAAUGGGCGAGAGCCUGAACCAGCCAAGUAGCGUGAAGGAUGACUGCCCUAUGGGUUGUAAACUUCUUUUAUAAAGGAAUAAAGUCGGGUAUGGAUACCCGUUUGCAUGUACUUUAUGAAUAAGGAUCGGCUAACUCCGUGCCAGCAGCCGCGGUAAUACGGAGGAUCCGAGCGUUAUCCGGAUUUAUUGGGUUUAAAGGGAGCGUAGAUGGAUGUUUAAGUCAGUUGUGAAAGUUCGCGGCUCAACCGUAAAAUUGCAGUUGAUACUGGAUAUCUUGAGUGCAGUUGAGGCAGGCGGAAUUCGUGGUGUAGCGGUGAAAUGCUUAGAUAUCACGAAGAACUCCGAUUGCGAAGGCAGCCUGCUAAGCUGCAACUGACAUUGAGGCUCGAAAGUGUGGGUAUCAAACAGGAUUAGAUACCCUGGUAGUCCACACGGUAAACGAUGAAUACUCGCUGUUUGCGAUAUACAGCAAGCGGCCAAGCGAAAGCGUUAAGUAUUCCACCUGGGGAGUACGCCGGCAACGGUGAAACUCAAAGGAAUUGACGGGGGCCCGCACAAGCGGAGGAACAUGUGGUUUAAUUCGAUGAUACGCGAGGAACCUUACCCGGGCUUAAAUUGCAGAUGAAUUACGGUGAAAGCCGUAAGCCGCAAGGCAUCUGUGAAGGUGCUGCAUGGUUGUCGUCAGCUCGUGCCGUGAGGUGUCGGCUUAAGUGCCAUAACGAGCGCAACCCUUGUUGUCAGUUACUAACAGGUUCCGCUGAGGACUCUGACAAGACUGCCAUCGUAAGAUGUGAGGAAGGUGGGGAUGACGUCAAAUCAGCACGGCCCUUACGUCCGGGGCUACACACGUGUUACAAUGGGGGGUACAGAGGGCCGCUACCACGCGAGUGGAUGCCAAUCCCCAAAACCUCUCUCAGUUCGGACUGGAGUCUGCAACCCGACUCCACGAAGCUGGAUUCGCUAGUAAUCGCGCAUCAGCCACGGCGCGGUGAAUACGUUCCCGGGCCUUGUACACACCGCCCGUCAAGCCAUGGGAGCCGGGGGUACCUGAAGUGCGUAACCGCGAGGAGCGCCCUAGGGUAAAACUGGUGACUGGGGCUAAA